AUGGAAACACUGAAGCGAGGUUUCAUACUUAUAAUUUGUACUCCCUCCGUCCCAAAAUUCAUGUCGCAGUGGUCAUUUUGCAAUUUACUCCUCAGCUUUUUCCCGACCAAACCCGAAGUCCCUCUGUGUAGUCGCUCUCUUCCUCCUUCUCCGACUGGCCGGCGCUGCCUGCGCCGCUCCCCUCCGCGCAGCUCCACGCCGCUUGCGCCUCCUCUCCCUCCCUCGCGGUUCCUCUCCCUCCCCAGCACAGGCGCCCUCUCCCUUGUGUGCGUCACCGGCGCUCUCUUCCUCUCGCAUGUCCCUCCGCAUUGGUGA
Molecule: ribosomal RNA, 315 nt
Filed under: Triticum aestivum (bread wheat)
Lineage: Eukaryota; Viridiplantae; Streptophyta; Magnoliopsida; Poales; Poaceae
Description: partial small subunit ribosomal RNA
Source: RNAcentral